RNAcentral lists this ribosomal RNA (253 nucleotides) under uncultured bacterium. Its description in RNAcentral is "partial 16S ribosomal RNA". It matches the Rfam family "Bacterial small subunit ribosomal RNA", at positions 524 to 776 of the family's 1533-position model. The record is from RNAcentral.
UACGUAGGUGGCAAGCGUUGUUCGGAAUCACUGGGCGUAAAGCGCACGUAGGCGGCUUACUAAGUCAGGGGUGAAAUCCUGGAGCUCAACUCCAGAACUGCCUUUGAUACUGGUGAGCUUGAGUCCGGGAGAGGUGAGUGGAACUGCGAGUGUAGAGGUGAAAUUCGUAGAUAUUCGCAAGAACACCAGUGGCGAAGGCGGCUCACUGGCCCGAUACUGACGCUGAGGCACGAAAGCCAGGGGAGCAAACGGG